GGAGAAGCUGCUGGAGCUGUUCUCAACAAGAUGGCUGACACCCCCUCAACAAGAUGGCUGCCUCAAGGACAGGGCUCAGAAGUGACAAGGGACUACCCUGCAACUCCCAGCACCAUGAGAUCACUCCUGAAUGGACCCUCAGAAACCAAAUCCAUCAACUGCAGGCCCACUUCUGGUGAGCUCACAACUUCACCGCUGCUCCUGAAACUCUGCCACCUCUUCAACUGUCUCCUCCAGUGCAACCAUUGUUCCCACCUCCACUGGUCUACUCUCCCUCCAGAAACAUGACGUGGAGCUCCACACUCGGGGCACUACUCACAACAUCACAAAGCAGGCAGGUAGGGAGUUACCAGAAUUCCUGUUUCCAUCUUUAACUUGGGCAUGUCCUUAUUUCUGCAAGGUGAUCCAAGCUGCCUGGAUGGAAGGGCAGAUGUGAGAAAUUUCUCCCCAGCUCCUUGCACCUCAGGUUGAGCAGAACCCUGGAGAGCUCCUCCUCCUCCUCCUCCCCGCGGCCUCCAGCUGCGCCGCUGCGCAGGGCAGGGGUGCACAGAAACUGGAGUAAGCCACAUGCAAAUCAGUGGUAACCAAAUAUGCUUAACCCAGGGGGAAGCUGGUGGGAAGAGCAGUCAGUGAGAGGUUAAUAAACAAGCAAGCAAAUAGGCUGGAAUAUACAGGCCCUGGUAUAUUGGCAUGUCAGUGGAGGGCUGUGUCUAGUAAAUAAACAAACAUACUUUAGCUGUUUCCUCAGGGUAAAGGGAGUAGGAGUGUGUUCAAAGAGUAAUAUUUGCUUUAUGCUAUCCUGCAAGCACAGGUUCAAUAUGUAUAUAUUAGGAAGUAUUUAUAGGUUGUAUAUGUGAAUGAUCAAGGAAUUAAGACAACUUGAAUAAUCAGCAGCGUACACCAAAUCCCAUCGGUCUGAUCCCAGUCCCUAGUUCCUCACUUCUCCGUGUUACAAAUUCACAGGCGAUUAAAAUGGCUACUUAGCUAUGUGAUGUUAUUGUAAGCAGCAUCACUUGUCAGGUAUUUUAAGUAUGAAAAGUGAUGUUAAUUGUUAGGCAUUACUACCCAGGUAAAAUUACACCCCAGUUUUAAGAAUACACAACAGUAUUCCAGUAAUUUCUUUAAUGUGAUAGCUUUGAGAGAGUGAUACGUUUUUCUUUUACAUUUGUACUACAAGACCUUUGUUAUUACUUUGUUCAUUAAAAUUCUCUCUGCAAUAAAGAUGAUUCAAUGAUUUCGCAAACCAAUCUCAUCCUCAGAAUGUUAUAAUUUGACAAUUUCAAGGCUUCCCAACACAGACCCGUGUAUAUAUGUCAUAUAUCACAUUGCAGAUUUCAUCCAAUAGCAGAAAAUGUACUCUGAAUGCAAUAUCAUCUUAUCAGUAUUCUAGCACCAUAAGCUUUCUCACUGCAAGCAGGGUACUGUUCAUUACAAUGAAACUGAAAAUGGAAUAACUGAAGGAUUGAUUUAUAUGACCUUCGCUCAGGAAUGUUCUAAUUCUGACAUAAUCUCUCUGACUGAAACCCUAAACACUGUAUAAUUCUGAUUUAUUUCCCUUCAAAGAAGGAGCUUAGAUCUCUAGAUCAGCAGAAUACCUAGCAUGAAAAAAAGUGGUGCAACAGCUCAGGAAGACUGCAAGAAAAAUGCAGAUUGAUCAUGUGACUGAACUCCAAACAUUGUCUCAGCCAGCAAAUCCAAGAACAGGGCUGAAAGCAAGUGGAAAAACAUGAUGUGGAUGUUUUCACAAAUCCCCUCCAUCGCUCAGAAAUCUCUUGGUUACAUAUACAUUUUAAUAGCAAAGAUAAGAGCAUGUUAAUAAGUUAAAACACGAACCAAUCUGUUUCCUGAAAGUUGCAGGGAAUGUUUAUGAAAACAGCUAAUUUAUAGCAAAACAGGGCCAGAGCUUGAGCCCGAUACGCUAUACAAAAGGCUGCUUUACCAGGCAGCUCUGUUCUCCUCCUGCAACAGCACUAUACGUAUUCUGUGCUACUCUGUCCUAAUAUCUGCUUGCCACAGGGGCCAGGAGAAGCCUUAUCAGUGGUGUGAGGGUAUGUUGGACCUAUCUCUGACUGCUAUCAGGUGAAAGCUACAGCAGCCCUACGGUGUGCUGCUUAAAAAUAAUACCUGAUACCUUUAAAGCAAAGUAGCUGGAGCUAAAUCGAGUAGAAUCUGCCUGAAUUGGAAGGUGAAUCGGGUUGACUCUCACUUCUUGUAUUUUUUGGUGAGGUAAAGAGAGCCAUUAGAAGAAAGGACAGAUACAAACUAUUCUCAAUGAACUGGUUGAUAAAUAUACAUUAAAAGCCCAAUGAACACAGUUAACACCUUCCAUAAUUAAAAUGAACAGGUCAUCUAAUUUUAAGCAGACUAAAACAGAAACCUGCCCCCAACCUGCUCCUUUUUCUGUUCUUAGUGUUGGGUGAAAUGAGCGUCUGCCUCCUUUCCUCCUGCACACUCAGCUCACAGUUCCCACUUAGCCACUUCCCAGUCCUAUUUUGGACAAAUCUCUAUCUUACCACCCUCCUCUUGCAAAUCCUUCCUUUCUGGGGUACUCGGCAUCCUCCUCUCACACAGAACUCACCUUUUACAAGCGGUAUCUGAUCAGUCUUACUUUACCCUGGGCAGAAAAUGGAGGGGGUUAUUGUAGGAAAAAAUUCUUUUCAAUCAGUGCAUUUUGUGGCUGGUAUGAAUACUUUGUUUAAUCCUAGCAGAUGGUAGUCUCCUCUAUGCAGGAAUAUUCGUCUGCUUCGCUGUAUAGCACAAUGCUAGUCCAAGCACAUUAUUCUCACCUAUGAAUGGACCUGUUCCUUAUUACUCCCAAAGAUCAAACACAAUUCCUCCAGUAUUUUUCACUUGCUGACAGUCUGAGCUACAGCUACUGCAGCCACUGUAAAAGCACUACAGCCUCGGAGAGAUUAUUCCUUCCUUCCUGAAUACGUUAGAGUGGAUAUACCAGGAACUAAAUUUGUGCUUAGGGAUAGCAGGAAGUGCCUGAUUCGUUUUAUGUAUUUGUAGAUAGGAAAAAGAAAAAGGGGAGGGGGGAGGGGGAGAAAAAUAAAAGAGAAAAUGAGAAAAGAAAGGACUUGGGUGGAAUCAAAUUUAGGACAUUUAUUCUCUCAGCUAUAUGGGCACAGUUUUCAAGAGUAAUAAAAAAGAGUAAUAAAAUAAAUUAUUUAUAUCAAAACCUGUCUCCUACUGGAAUGACAUAAAGGCCUGAAAGCAGUGGACAAAAGAGGACAAACCCAGUGUGCGUGUUAUUUUUAUAAUCAAUUAGCACUGUAAUUGUAUAUGGUGCAUAUCAACGUAUAUGAAUACAAUACAGACAAUAUUUGAUUCUUCGGACUGGAAAACUUGAUGUAAAGCCCCGUUCUGCAAAGCAAUCCUGGCAUGCUUGAUUUUCAGCAUGAGCUGUUUAUGGAAUUCUCAAAUGACUGUAUUUAUCAGUAGGAAAAUCAAAACAGCAGAGGAAGUAAUAUAGUCUUAGAUUUCCCAAUGGUGAAUUCAUUAGCAGAGGCAAUUCUGGGCUCAGGCUGGUAUCUCAUCCACCAGGCAGCACUCACUUCCCAAUGUAAUGACAGAUGAUGGUAAAAGCUUAGCAGUGUUUUGCUGUGCUGGGAAAGCAGACAGGGGUGGGAGUGAAGAGCACCAUGGUAUCUUCUUUGACCAAUGGAAAACCAUUAAGCAGGAGAGAUUAAGAACUGGACUUUAUGAGGAUGAUUAUCGUUACCCUCAACAAC
This is a long non-coding RNA of Strigops habroptila (Kakapo), 3734 nucleotides long. Lineage: Eukaryota; Metazoa; Chordata; Aves; Psittaciformes; Psittacidae. The record is from Ensembl.